RNAcentral lists this transfer RNA (365 nucleotides) under uncultured Microcystis sp. RNAcentral describes it as "partial 16S-23S ribosomal RNA intergenic spacer". The stretch from base 136 to 209 matches the Rfam family "tRNA". The record is from RNAcentral. Lineage: Bacteria; Bacillati; Cyanobacteriota; Cyanophyceae; Chroococcales; Microcystaceae.
AAAGGGAGACCUAAUUCCGGUAGGAGACGAAAAAAAAGUAGUCCCAACCAAGAAUCAAUCCCAAAAGGUCGGAGCGAGGCAAAAUUGGCUUUCAAACUAGGUUCUGGGUUCACACAAGACCUGAAUCAGGAACAAGGGCUAUUAGCUCAGGUGGUUAGAGCGCACCCCUGAUAAGGGUGAGGUCCCUGGUUCGAGUCCAGGAUGGCCCACCUGCACAGGUGGCAAAAACAAAGAAAAAAAGCUCCGAAUCAGCACCUUAUCUUACUUAUACAGUAAGAGAGAAUGCUGGCUCUGAGUUCAGAGUCCAGAGGAACCUUGAAAACUGCAUAGAGCUAGGUGAAAAAGCCAAAAAAGAAGACCGCAAG